This 253-nucleotide ribosomal RNA is filed under the name uncultured bacterium. RNAcentral's name for it is "partial 16S ribosomal RNA". It matches the Rfam family "Bacterial small subunit ribosomal RNA", at positions 524 to 776 of the family's 1533-position model. The record is from RNAcentral.
UACGUAGGGGGCGAGCGUUGUCCGGAAUUAUUGGGCGUAAAGAGCGUGUAGGCGGUUCGGUAAGUCUGCUGUGAAAUCCUGGGGCUCAACCCCGGGCGUGCAGCGGAUAUUGCCGGGCUAGAGGGUGGUAGAGGCGAGUGGAAUUCCCGGUGUAGCGGUGAAAUGCGCAGAUAUCAGGAGGAACACCGGUGGCGAAGGCGGGUCUCUGGGCCGAUACUGACGCUGAGGAGCGAAAGCGUGGGGAGCGAACAGG